CAAGAAAGAGAGAUAUAGAGAACGAAAGCUCUCUUUCUCAGAAAAUACUCUCUCACACACACACCAUCAAGAACAAAGAAAAAAACACACGAACAAUCUACACUGUAAAAAAGAAUCAACGAAGUAUCAAAUCUUUGUUAUUCUUCAGCUUCCCUUAUCUCUCACGCAGAGAUCUUGNNNNNNNNCUACAAUGCCUUCUUCGUUGUAGCGGACAAGGGUUUUUGAUUCUGGAGCAAAGCGGAGAAUGGGCCAUCUUUCAAGGGAUUGGAGUUCUGGGGUGGGCAGUUCACAAGCUCUGUUAUCGAACUUUGAGAUUGAAUAGAGUGAUCAUUAAGAUUGUUAGUCUUGGGCA
Molecule: unclassified non-coding RNA, 352 nt
Filed under: Hevea brasiliensis (rubber tree)
Lineage: Eukaryota; Viridiplantae; Streptophyta; Magnoliopsida; Malpighiales; Euphorbiaceae
Source: RNAcentral